CUGAUGGGCCGGGGGCACUCUGCAUCGGCCUCCUUCCCACCGGGGAUGGCUGGCAUAAACGGCACAAACUCAUUCACCUGAUGGUUACUGAACGAGGAAGUCCAUUAUCUCAGGGCAUAUGGAGUACUUUGAAAGUUUCUGAACUGGCACCUUGAUAACAUCACGCUGCUGGUCAUCAGAGAUCCUUUGAACUGUCUCAAGACAGCAGUAGGCAUUGCAAGAGAAGAGGUUUGCAAUGCGGAGGUUGCCAGGUCUCUGCAAGGAGAAUUCAACAAUGGAUGCUGUUCCUUCAUAAUUCUGAGCCAAUGUGUUUUCAAUUAUUUUAGCACUUUCAACUUAUUGUAAAAUUCAUCUAAUUGCCUUGAUUAAAACCCAGGAGUGUUCACAGUU
Pristis pectinata (smalltooth sawfish) is the source of this 390-nucleotide long non-coding RNA. RefSeq lists it as uncharacterized. The record is from RefSeq and is a predicted model, not a curated record. The transcript has 2 exons. NCBI's taxonomy places the organism in Eukaryota, Metazoa, Chordata, Chondrichthyes, Rhinopristiformes, Pristidae.